GACGAACGCUGGCGGCGUGCUUAACACAUGCAAGUCGAACGGAAAGGCCCUGCUUUUGUGGGGUUCUCGAGUGGCGAACGGGUGAGUAACAUGUGAGUAACCUGCCCUUGACUUUGGGAUAACUUCAGGAAACUGGGGCUAAUACCGGAUAGGAGCUCCUGCUGCAUGGUGGGGGUUGGAAAGUUUCGGCGGUUGGGGAUGGAUUCGCGGCUUAUCAGCUUGUUGGUGGGGUAGUGGCCUACCAAGGCUUUGACGGGUAGCCGGCCUGAGAGGGUGACCGGCGACCUGGGGACUGAGGUAGGGCCCAGAGUGCUACGGGGGGCAGCAGUGGAGAAUAUUGCACAAUGGGCCGAAGCCUGAUGCGGCGACGUCGCGUGCGGGAUGACGGCCUUCGGGUUGUAAACCGCUUUCGCCUGUGACGAAGCGUGUGUGACGGUAAUGGGUAAAGAAGCACCGGCUAACUACGUG
This 468-nucleotide ribosomal RNA is filed under the name uncultured bacterium. Its description in RNAcentral is "partial 16S ribosomal RNA". It matches the Rfam family "Bacterial small subunit ribosomal RNA", at positions 28 to 507 of the family's 1533-position model. The record is from RNAcentral.